GGGUUGUGAGGUUAAGCGACUAAGCGUACACGGUGGAUGCCCUGGCAGUCAGAGGCGAUGAAGGACGUGCUAAUCUGCGAUAAGCGUCGGUAAGGUGAUAUGAACCGUUAUAACCGGCGAUUUCCGAAUGGGGAAACCCAGUGUGAUUCGUCACACUAUCAUUAACUGAAUCCAUAGGUUAAUGAGGCGAACCGGGGGAACUGAAACAUCUAAGUACCCCGAGGAAAAGAAAUCAACCGAGAUUCCCCCAGUAGCGGCGAGCGAACGGGGAGCAGCCCAGAGCCUGAAUCAGUGUGUGUGUUAGUGGAAGCGUCUGGAAAGGCGCGCGAUACAGGGUGACAGCCCCGUACACAAAAAUGCACAUGCUGUGAGCUCGAUGAGUAGGGCGGGACACGUGGUAUCCUGUCUGAAUAUGGGGGGACCAUCCUCCAAGGCUAAAUACUCCUGACUGACCGAUAGUGAACCAGUACCGUGAGGGAAAGGCGAAAAGAACCCCGGCGAGGGGAGUGAAAAAGAACCUGAAACCGUGUACGUACAAGCAGUGGGAGCCUCUUUAUGGGGUGACUGCGUACCUUUUGUAUAAUGGGUCAGCGACUUAUAUUCUGUAGCAAGGUUAACCGAAUAGGGGAGCCGAAGGGAAACCGAGUCUUAACUGGGCGUUAAGUUGCAGGGUAUAGACCCGAAACCCGGUGAUCUAGCCAUGGGCAGGUUGAAGGUUGGGUAACACUAACUGGAGGACCGAACCGACUAAUGUUGAAAAAUUAGCGGAUGACUUGUGGCUGGGGGUGAAAGGCCAAUCAAACCGGGAGAUAGCUGGUUCUCCCCGAAAGCUAUUUAGGUAGCGCCUCGUGAAUUCAUCUCCGGGGGUAGAGCACUGUUUCGGCAAGGGGGUCAUCCCGACUUACCAACCCGAUGCAAACUGCGAAUACCGGAGAAUGUUAUCACGGGAGACACACGGCGGGUGCUAACGUCCGUCGUGAAGAGGGAAACAACCCAGACCGCCAGCUAAGGUCCCAAAGUCAUGGUUAAGUGGGAAACGAUGUGGGAAGGCCCAGACAGCCAGGAUGUUGGCUUAGAAGCAGCCAUCAUUUAAAGAAAGCGUAAUAGCUCACUGGUCGAGUCGGCCUGCGCGGAAGAUGUAACGGGGCUAAACCAUGCACCGAAGCUGCGGCAGCGACACUAUGUGUUGUUGGGUAGGGGAGCGUUCUGUAAGCCUGCGAAGGUGUACUGUGAGGUAUGCUGGAGGUAUCAGAAGUGCGAAUGCUGACAUAAGUAACGAUAAAGCGGGUGAAAAGCCCGCUCGCCGGAAGACCAAGGGUUCCUGUCCAACGUUAAUCGGGGCAGGGUGAGUCGACCCCUAAGGCGAGGCCGAAAGGCGUAGUCGAUGGGAAACAGGUUAAUAUUCCUGUACUUGGUGUUACUGCGAAGGGGGGACGGAGAAGGCUAUGUUGGCCGGGCGACGGUUGUCCCGGUUUAAGCGUGUAGGCUGGUUUUCCAGGCAAAUCCGGAAAAUCAAGGCUGAGGCGUGAUGACGAGGCACUACGGUGCUGAAGCAACAAAUGCCCUGCUUCCAGGAAAAGCCUCUAAGCAUCAGGUAACAUCAAAUCGUACCCCAAACCGACACAGGUGGUCAGGUAGAGAAUACCAAGGCGCUUGAGAGAACUCGGGUGAAGGAACUAGGCAAAAUGGUGCCGUAACUUCGGGAGAAGGCACGCUGAUAUGUAGGUGAAGUCCCUCGCGGAUGGAGCUGAAAUCAGUCGAAGAUACCAGCUGGCUGCAACUGUUUAUUAAAAACACAGCACUGUGCAAACACGAAAGUGGACGUAUACGGUGUGACGCCUGCCCGGUGCCGGAAGGUUAAUUGAUGGGGUUAGCGGUAACGCGAAGCUCUUGAUCGAAGCCCCGGUAAACGGCGGCCGUAACUAUAACGGUCCUAAGGUAGCGAAAUUCCUUGUCGGGUAAGUUCCGACCUGCACGAAUGGCGUAAUGAUGGCCAGGCUGUCUCCACCCGAGACUCAGUGAAAUUGAACUCGCUGUGAAGAUGCAGUGUACCCGCGGCAAGACGGAAAGACCCCGUGAACCUUUACUAUAGCUUGACACUGAACAUUGAGCCUUGAUGUGUAGGAUAGGUGGGAGGCUUUGAAGUGUGGACGCCAGUCUGCAUGGAGCCGACCUUGAAAUACCACCCUUUAAUGUUUGAUGUUCUAACGUUGGCCCCUAAUCGGGGUUGCGGACAGUGUCUGGUGGGUAGUUUGACUGGGGCGGUCUCCUCCUAAAGAGUAACGGAGGAGCACGAAGGUUGGCUAAUCCUGGUCGGACAUCAGGAGGUUAGUGCAAUGGCAUAAGCCAGCUUGACUGCGAGCGUGACGGCGCGAGCAGGUGCGAAAGCAGGUCAUAGUGAUCCGGUGGUUCUGAAUGGAAGGGCCAUCGCUCAACGGAUAAAAGGUACUCCGGGGAUAACAGGCUGAUACCGCCCAAGAGUUCAUAUCGACGGCGGUGUUUGGCACCUCGAUGUCGGCUCAUCACAUCCUGGGGCUGAAGUAGGUCCCAAGGGUAUGGCUGUUCGCCAUUUAAAGUGGUACGCGAGCUGGGUUUAGAACGUCGUGAGACAGUUCGGUCCCUAUCUGCCGUGGGCGCUGGAGAACUGAGGGGGGCUGCUCCUAGUACGAGAGGACCGGAGUGGACGCAUCACUGGUGUUCGGGUUGUCAUGCCAAUGGCACUGCCCGGUAGCUAAAUGCGGAAGAGAUAAGUGCUGAAAGCAUCUAAGCACGAAACUUGCCCCGAGAUGAGUUCUCCCUGACUCCCUGAGAGUCCUGAAGGAACGUUGAAGACGACGACGUUGAUAGGCCGGGUGUGUAAGCGCAGCGAUGCGUUGAGCUAACCGGUACUAAUGAACCGUGAGGCUUAACCUUACAACGCCGAAGCUGUU
RNAcentral lists this ribosomal RNA (2930 nucleotides) under Escherichia coli. RNAcentral describes it as "23S ribosomal RNA". It matches the Rfam family "Bacterial large subunit ribosomal RNA". Lineage: Bacteria; Pseudomonadati; Pseudomonadota; Gammaproteobacteria; Enterobacterales; Enterobacteriaceae. The record is from RNAcentral.